AACACUGUUAACCUGCGGUACCUGCGGAAGGAUCAUUACAUGGCGGAGAAGGUGGGCACUGGCAAACUCCAGGUUGUGAUGCCUUCACGCUCUUCCACCCUUGUCUAUUUGCACCUUCUGUCGUUCCCUCGGCGGGUUUCGACCCGCCGGCGGCAACAUUGAAAAACCUUUUUGCAGUUAGCAUCCAAUUCUUCUGAUCAAAAUAUCAAAUCGUUACAACUUUUAACAAUGGAUCUCAGA
RNAcentral lists this unclassified non-coding RNA (240 nucleotides) under soil metagenome. RNAcentral describes it as "partial contains 5.8S ribosomal RNA, internal transcribed spacer 2, and large subunit ribosomal RNA". The record is from RNAcentral.